UUAGGUUUAUCCCAACUAGUGAUUAUUGAGAGUUUUUAUUACAGAGUCUUUUCACUUGCUAUAAUACUAUUCUAUAAGUUUGACCUCAAAUCAGGUAGGAAUACCCGCUGAACUUAAGCAUAUCAAUAAGCGGAGGAAAAGAAACCAACCGGGAUUGCCCUAGUAACGGCGAGUGAAGCGGCAAAAGCUCAAAUUUGAAAUCUGGCAUCUUUGAUGUCCGAGUUGUAAUUUGAAGAGGUUACUUUGGAGGCUGGCUCUUGUCUAUGUUCCUUGGAACAGGACGUCAUGGAGGGUGAGAAUCCCGUCUGGCGAGAGUUUCAGUUUUCAUGUAAAGUAGCAUUCGACGAGUCGAGUUGUUUGGGAAUGCAGCUCUAAGUGGGUGGUAAAUUCCAUCUAAAGCUAAAUAUUGGCGAGAGACCGAUAGCGAACAAGUACAGUGAUGGAAAGAUGAAAAGAACUUUGAAAAGAGAGUGAAAAAGUACGUGAAAUUGUUGAAAGGGAAGGGCAUUUGAUCAGACAUGGUGUUUCGUGCUUCUUGCUCCUUGUGGGCGGGGAGACUCACACGGUUCACUGGGCCAACAUCAGUUUUGGCAGCAGGAUAAAACUUUGGGAACGUAGCUUUCUUCGGGAAGUGUUAUAGCCCUUAGCAAUACUGCUAGCCGGGAUUGAGGACUGCGCAUUUAUGCAAGGAUGUUGGCUUAAUGGUUAAAUGCCGCCCGUCUUGAAACACGGACCAAGGAGUCUAACGUCUAUGCGAGUGUUUGGGUGU
RNAcentral lists this ribosomal RNA (769 nucleotides) under Saccharomycodes ludwigii. RNAcentral's name for it is "LSU rRNA". The stretch from base 81 to 769 matches the Rfam family "Eukaryotic large subunit ribosomal RNA", at positions 1 to 701 of the family's 3401-position model. The record is from RNAcentral. Lineage: Eukaryota; Fungi; Ascomycota; Saccharomycetes; Saccharomycodales; Saccharomycodaceae.